AGUGAGGUGUAGUGGUUUCAGCACUGGAGUAUGGCUCAAGAGACCAGGGUUCAAAUCCCUGCUCCACCA
Molecule: non-coding RNA, 69 nt
Organism: Phrynosoma platyrhinos (Desert horned lizard)
Lineage: Eukaryota; Metazoa; Chordata; Lepidosauria; Squamata; Phrynosomatidae
Source: the annotation of a GenBank genome assembly